UUGAACGCUGGCGGCCUGCUUUACCCCUGCAAGUCGAACGGUAACAGGUCUUCGGGUGCUGACGAGUGGCGAACGGGUGAGUAAUGCAUCGGAACGUACCCAGAGGUGGGGGAUAACGCAGCGAAAGCUGUGCUAAUACCGCAUGUGAUCUGAGGAUGAAAGCGGGGGACCGAGCAGCAAUGUUUGGCCUCGCGCCUUUGGAGCGGCCGAUGUCGGAUUAGCUAGUUGGUGGGGUAAAGGCCUACCAAGGCGACGAUCCGUAGCUGGUCUGAGAGGACGACCAGCCACACUGGGACUGAGACACGGCCCAGACUCCUACGGGAGGCAGCAGUGGGGAAUUUUGGACAAUGGGCGCAAGCCUGAUCCAGCAAUGCCGCGUGCGGGAAGAAGGCCUUCGGGUUGUAAACCGCUUUUGGCAGGAACGAAACGGUGUCCGCUAAUACCGGGCGCUAAUGACGGUACCUGCAGAAUAAGCACCGGCUAACUACGUG
This 491-nucleotide ribosomal RNA is filed under the name uncultured bacterium. Its description in RNAcentral is "partial 16S ribosomal RNA". It matches the Rfam family "Bacterial small subunit ribosomal RNA", at positions 30 to 507 of the family's 1533-position model. The record is from RNAcentral.